CAUUAAUGAAUUUUGGAGUUCUACUGUGCCUGCCGUUCAUUCGGAUGUGUGCACGUAGUCUCUAUAAAUCCUUAUCAACACCUGUGCACCUUUAAAAAGGGGGGAGUCUGAUUAAGCAUUUUAUGAUGCUUAUGACGAAUAACCUCUUUUCUUAUACAAACUCUUUUAAUGUCUAUUAGAAUGUUCUCUGGCCGCAAGGCUAUAAAAUAUAAACAACUUUUAACAACGGAUCUCUUGGCUCUCGCAUCGAUGAAGAACGCAGCGAAAUGCGAUAAGUAAUGUGAAUUGCAGAAUUCAGUGAAUCAUCGAAUCUUUGAACGCACCUUGCACUCCUUGGUAUUCCGAGGAGUACGCCUGUUCGAGUGUUAUGAAGCUCUCAAAACGCAAUUGGCUUAAAACCUGAUUGUUGUUUUGGAUUUGAACUUUGCCGUGUUACAACGGCUGGUUUUAAAAGCAUUAGCUGGUACUAGAACGAAUUGGUUCUACUCAACGUGAUAAUUAUCUGAUCGUUGAGGACAUUCCUUUCACGAGGAAUGGCCAUAGUAAAUUCAAUGGACUGCUUCUAACUUGGCUUUAAUUCUUAAUUGGAUUAACCACUUUUCAAAUCUGACCUCGAAUCAGGUGGGACUACCC
This 633-nucleotide ribosomal RNA is filed under the name uncultured Basidiomycota. Its description in RNAcentral is "eukaryotic LSU rRNA". The stretch from base 215 to 368 matches the Rfam family "5.8S ribosomal RNA". Lineage: Eukaryota; Fungi; Basidiomycota. The record is from RNAcentral.